RNAcentral lists this non-coding RNA (31 nucleotides) under Rattus norvegicus (Norway rat). Lineage: Eukaryota; Metazoa; Chordata; Mammalia; Rodentia; Muridae. The record is from RNAcentral.
UGCCACACUCAUGCCUGCUCAUGACAGCAGU